This 494-nucleotide ribosomal RNA is filed under the name uncultured bacterium. Its description in RNAcentral is "partial 16S ribosomal RNA". It matches the Rfam family "Bacterial small subunit ribosomal RNA", at positions 28 to 507 of the family's 1533-position model. The record is from RNAcentral.
GACGAACGCUGGCGGCGUGCUUAACACAUGCAAGUCGAACGGUGAAGCGCCUUCCUUUUUGGUGGGUGUGGAUGAGUGGCGAACGGGUGAGUAACACGUGAGUAACCUGCCCCCUUCUUCUGGAUAACCGCAUGAAAGUGUGGAUAAUACGGGAUAUUCUGGGUCUGUCGCAUGAUGGGUCUGGGAAAGAUAUUGUUUCGGUGGGGGAUGGGCUCGCGGCCUAUCAGCUUGUUGGUGGGGUGAUGGCCUACCAAGGCGGUGACGGGUAGCCGGCCUGAGAGGGUGGACGGCCACACUGGGACUGAGACACGGCCCAGACUCCUACGGGAGGCAGCAGUGGGGAAUAUUGCACAAUGGGCGCAAGCCUGAUGCAGCGACGCCGCGUGAGGGAUGGAGGCCUUCGGGUUGUGAACCUCUUUCGCCAGUGAAGCAGGCCUGCCUCGUUUGUGGGUGGGUUGACGGUAGCUGGAUAAGAAGCGCCGGCUAACUACGUG